RNAcentral lists this ribosomal RNA (253 nucleotides) under uncultured bacterium. RNAcentral's name for it is "partial 16S ribosomal RNA". It matches the Rfam family "Bacterial small subunit ribosomal RNA", at positions 524 to 776 of the family's 1533-position model. The record is from RNAcentral.
UACGUAGGGACCAAGCGUUGUUCGGAUUUACUGGGCGUAAAGGGCGCGUAGGCGGCAAAUUAAGUCAGCUGUGAAAUCUCCGAGCUUAACUCGGAACUGUCAGCUGAUACUGAUGUGCUAGAGUGCGGAAGGGGCAAUCGGAAUUCUUGGUGUAGCGGUGAAAUGCGUAGAUAUCAAGAGGAACACCUGAGGUGAAGACGGGUUGCUGGGCCGACACUGACGCUGAUGCGCGAAAGCCAGGGGAGCGAACGGG